AUUGAACGCUGGCGGCAUGCCUUACACAUGCAAGUCGAACGGCAGCAUGAUCUAGCUUGCUAGAUUGAUGGCGAGUGGCGAACGGGUGAGUAAUACAUCGGAACGUGCCCUGUAGUGGGGGAUAACUAGUCGAAAGAUUAGCUAAUACCGCAUACGACCUGAGGGUGAAAGUGGGGGACCGCAAGGCCUCAUGCUAUAGGAGCGGCCGAUGUCUGAUUAGCUAGUUGGUGAGGUAAAGGCUCACUAAGGCGACGAUCAGUAGCUGGUCUGAGAGGACGAUCAGCCACACUGGGACUGAGACACGGCCCAGACUCCUACGGGAGGCAGCAGUGGGGAAUUUUGGACAAUGGGCGAAAGCCUGAUCCAGCAAUGCCGCGUGUGUGAAGAAGGCCUUCGGGUUGUAAAGCACUUUUGUCCGGAAAGAAAUGGCUCUGGUUAAUACCUGGGGUCGAUGACGGUACCGGAAGAAUAAGGACCGGCUAACUACGUG
RNAcentral lists this ribosomal RNA (490 nucleotides) under uncultured bacterium. RNAcentral describes it as "partial 16S ribosomal RNA". It matches the Rfam family "Bacterial small subunit ribosomal RNA", at positions 30 to 507 of the family's 1533-position model. The record is from RNAcentral.